This is a non-coding RNA of Candidatus Brennerbacteria bacterium, 71 nucleotides long. Lineage: Bacteria; Candidatus Brenneribacteriota. The record is from Rfam.
GCCUCUUUAGCUCAAUGGUAGAGCGACGGUAUCGUAAACCGCUGAUGUCAGUUCGAUUCUGACAAGAGGCU